AAAAACAUACAAAAUAAACAUAAAUAAUUUUAAAAUUUUUUACACAUGACUAAUAUUGUUAGUUCUCGACAUCCGUACGGUUAGAUCAUCAAAACAAAAAUUUAUAAAUUAAUAUAGAGUUAAUUGUAUACAUAACAAACAUUCUAUUCAGUACAAUCUAAAUUGUAAACAUAAAACACAUACUAAUACUCACGUCCGAACUACAA
This 206-nucleotide long non-coding RNA is filed under the name Daucus carota (carrot). RNAcentral's name for it is "long non-coding RNA (DCAR_LNC007726)". Lineage: Eukaryota; Viridiplantae; Streptophyta; Magnoliopsida; Apiales; Apiaceae. The record is from RNAcentral.